RNAcentral lists this ribosomal RNA (466 nucleotides) under uncultured bacterium. Its description in RNAcentral is "partial 16S ribosomal RNA". It matches the Rfam family "Bacterial small subunit ribosomal RNA", at positions 28 to 507 of the family's 1533-position model. The record is from RNAcentral.
GAUGAACGCUGGCGGCGUGCUUAACACAUGCAAGUCGAACGGAAAGGCCCAAGCUUGCUUGGGUACUCGAGUGGCGAACGGGUGAGUAACACGUGGGUGAUCUGCCCUGCACUUCGGGAUAAGCCUGGGAAACUGGGUCUAAUACCGGAUAGGACCACAUUUUGGAUGGUGUGGUGGAAAGUUUUUCGGUGUGGGAUGAGCUCGCGGCCUAUCAGCUUGUUGGUGGGGUAAUGGCCUACCAAGGCGUCGACGGGUAGCCGGCCUGAGAGGGUGUACGGCCACAGUGGGACUGAGAUACGGCCCAGACUCCUACGGGAGGCAGCAGUGGGGAAUAUUGCACAAUGGGCGCAAGCCUGAUGCAGCGACGCCGCGUGGGGGAUGACGGCCUUCGGGUUGUAAACUCCUUUCGCUAGGGACGAAGCGUUAUGUGACGGUACCUGGAGAAGAAGCACCGGCUAACUACGUG